UGGCAGGUACAGCGGGAAGCCACCUAGCGACAGGGCGCGGAACCCGAAAACCUGUCUCAGUUCGGAUUGGAGUCUGCAACCCGACUCCAUGAAGCUGGAUUCGCUAGUAAUCGCGCAUCAGCCACGGCGCGGUGAAUACGUUCCCGGGCCUUGUACACACCGCCCGUCAAGCCAUGGAAGCCGGGAGUGCCUGAAGUGCGUGACCGCAAGGAGCGUCCUAAGGCAAUACCGGUGACUGGGGCUAAGUCGUAACAAGGUAAC
RNAcentral lists this ribosomal RNA (261 nucleotides) under uncultured bacterium. RNAcentral's name for it is "partial 16S ribosomal RNA". It matches the Rfam family "Bacterial small subunit ribosomal RNA", at positions 1231 to 1500 of the family's 1533-position model. The record is from RNAcentral.